AAAAAAAGAGGUUCGGGCAAAAAUUAGGGAUAUAAAAAUAAAAAAAUGUACACCCGGUGAGUCGAAAACCCGAAAGGGUGGCUCAGGCAAAAAGGGGUAUCCCGGUGGAUUGAAAACCCGAAAAGGGUGAUCCAGGCAAAAGUUAGGGAAUAAGCGAAUGACUGCAAUCUGAGUUCAUCCGUGUCAUAUCACCGUUUCAUUCAAUCCGGCAAUCUCCGAAGGUUAAAGAUCGACUAAUCAUCCACUUCAGAAAGCAAGAUGAG
RNAcentral lists this long non-coding RNA (263 nucleotides) under Lathyrus oleraceus (garden pea). Its description in RNAcentral is "Pisum sativum (pea) long non-coding RNA (PSAT_LNC034764)". Lineage: Eukaryota; Viridiplantae; Streptophyta; Magnoliopsida; Fabales; Fabaceae. The record is from RNAcentral.